ACCUGGGACAGCUCACUCGGUAGAGCAUGAUAAUCUUAAUCUUAGGGUCAUGGGUUCGAAUUCCACCCCGGGCA
This is a non-coding RNA of Podarcis lilfordi (Lilford's wall lizard), 74 nucleotides long. The record is from the annotation of a GenBank genome assembly. Lineage: Eukaryota; Metazoa; Chordata; Lepidosauria; Squamata; Lacertidae.